CUUUUUUUUUUUUUUUCCUUUUAAAUGUUUUAACUUGUUUUGCAACCCUUGACUACGUCAACUUUGAAAACCUAGGUACUUCUACUCCUAGGUGAAAAGUUAUAUAAAGGAGAAGGCUGGUGUAGAUUCAUGAUCUGUCUCCCAUUAACAUUAAACUCAGGAUGGCUCUCAAACUUUCUACUACCAUUGUGUUUUGCUUCAUUGUGUUUCUCAUCCUUGCUAACCAUAUUGUUUCCCCUCGACAGCUGAUCGGGGAUGGGGGUCGUAGAGGCCGUCUUCUCGGGGGAGUCGUGUCCCCUACGAGCGGAAUCCCAUCCCCGGCAAGGCCAUUUCCUUGAGAUGCAAAAAUCCGUACGAGGUGCUCGGAAAGCAGCCCUGUAUCCAUAUGCUUCCGGCUAGUUUAGCAUGCGUCGUUUAUGUAUGUUCUCUACAAAUAUAAGAUAUGGGUCAUUUCUAUAUAUAUAUAUUAUUGAUAUUCCCAUAAUUACACCUGUCUCUAGUUUAGCAUCCGUCGUUUACGUACGUUGUCUUCAACUAUAAGAGAUGGGUCAUUUCUAUAUAAAUAUAUAUUGGUGAUAUUCCCAUAUA
Molecule: long non-coding RNA, 588 nt
Organism: Carya illinoinensis
Lineage: Eukaryota; Viridiplantae; Streptophyta; Magnoliopsida; Fagales; Juglandaceae
Exons: 2
Source: RefSeq, a predicted model, not a curated record